GGAACCGGUGCUAUAUAUUAAUGGACGCCCGUUUGUCUUGCGUGAAGUAGAAAGGCCCUUCUCAAAUCUCGAAUAUACGGGAAUUAACAGGACAAGAGUGGAGGAAAUGGAGGAUCGUUUGAAAGAUGAUGUUCUGCAAGAAGCUGCAAGAUACGGAAAUAAGAUCCUUGUAACUGACGAGCUUCCUGAUGGUCAGAUGGUGGAUCAAUGGGAACCAGUAACAUAUGAUUCUGUGAAAACACCCUUACAGGUGUACGAGGAGCUGCAAACAAAAGAGUACCUGGUUGAAUACGAACGUGUUCCUAUUACCGACGAAAAAUCAC
RNAcentral lists this unclassified non-coding RNA (323 nucleotides) under Hevea brasiliensis (rubber tree). The record is from RNAcentral. Lineage: Eukaryota; Viridiplantae; Streptophyta; Magnoliopsida; Malpighiales; Euphorbiaceae.